GACGAACGCUGGCGGCGCGCCUAACACAUGCAAGUCGAACGAGCGAGAGAGAGCUUGCUUUCUCGAGCGAGUGGCGAACGGGUGAGUAACGCGUGAGGAACCUGCCUCAAAGAGGGGGACAACAGUUGGAAACGACUGCUAAUACCGCAUAAGCCCACGGGUCGGCAUCGACCAGAGGGAAAAGGAGCAAUCCGCUUUGAGAUGGCCUCGCGUCCGAUUAGCUAGUUGGUGAGGUAAUGGCCCACCAAGGCGACGAUCGGUAGCCGGACUGAGAGGUUGAACGGACACAUUGGGACUGAGACACGGCCCAGACUCCUACGGGAGGCAGCAGUGGGGAAUAUUGCACAAUAGGGGAAACCCUGAUGCAGCGACGCCGCGUGGAGGAAGAAGGUCUUCGGAUUGUAAACUCCUGUUGUUGGGGAAGAUAAUGACGGUACCCAACAAGGAAGUGACGGCUAACUACGUG
RNAcentral lists this ribosomal RNA (466 nucleotides) under uncultured bacterium. RNAcentral's name for it is "partial 16S ribosomal RNA". It matches the Rfam family "Bacterial small subunit ribosomal RNA", at positions 28 to 507 of the family's 1533-position model. The record is from RNAcentral.